Molecule: ribosomal RNA, 301 nt
Filed under: uncultured bacterium
Lineage: Bacteria
Description: partial 16S ribosomal RNA
Rfam family: Bacterial small subunit ribosomal RNA
Source: RNAcentral
CAGCAGCCGCGGUAAUACGGAGGGGGCUAGCGUUGUUCGGAAUUACUGGGCGUAAAGCGUACGUAGGCGGCUUUGUAAGUUAGAGGUGAAAGCCCGGGGCUCAACCCCGGAAUUGCCUUUAAGACUGCAUCGCUUGAACGUCGGAGAGGUGAGUGGAAUUCCGAGUGUAGAGGUGAAAUUCGUAGAUAUUCGGAAGAACACCAGUGGCGAAGGCGGCUCACUGGACGACUGUUGACGCUGAGGUACGAAAGCGUGGGGAGCAAACAGGAUUAGAUACCCCGGUAGUCCCUGUCUCUUAUAC